Long non-coding RNA from Sinocyclocheilus rhinocerous, 99 nucleotides. RefSeq lists it as uncharacterized. The transcript has 3 exons. NCBI's taxonomy places the organism in Eukaryota, Metazoa, Chordata, Actinopteri, Cypriniformes, Cyprinidae. The record is from RefSeq and is a predicted model, not a curated record.
CUGUGCUAUUGUGCAAUCAGGAUUUUCUUUUAUUAUAUUAGUUGUUCUGUCUCAACUCUGAAGCCAUCAAGAGUCCAGGUAUCGAUGGACUCAAAACAA